UGAACAUUUCUUUGUUUGUGGUUUUCGGCUUGUUGUGCAAUCUUAACUUUGAAACAAAGAAAUGUUCAAGGAUGUGGGCACUUCC
RNAcentral lists this non-coding RNA (85 nucleotides) under Paramoeba aestuarina. Lineage: Eukaryota; Discosea; Flabellinia; Dactylopodida; Paramoebidae. The record is from RNAcentral.